AAGUCGUAACAAGGUUUCCGUAGGUGAACCUGCGGAAGGAUCAUUACCAAUACUUUUGGGUGUCAUCUUAGUGAUGUAUACUCCAAAUAAGUGCUUGCCCGUUUAGGGCAUUGCAUAAACGCUUUAUUGUCAUUAUUAUCAAUGAUGUUUAUAAUCUAAAAAUCACUUUUAACAAUGGAUCUCUAGGCUCUU
This 192-nucleotide unclassified non-coding RNA is filed under the name fungal sp. RNAcentral's name for it is "partial internal transcribed spacer region". The stretch from base 1 to 46 matches the Rfam family "Eukaryotic small subunit ribosomal RNA", at positions 1786 to 1831 of the family's 1831-position model. Lineage: Eukaryota; Fungi. The record is from RNAcentral.